Molecule: ribosomal RNA, 305 nt
Filed under: uncultured bacterium
Lineage: Bacteria
Description: bacterial SSU rRNA
Rfam family: Bacterial small subunit ribosomal RNA
Source: RNAcentral
CCUACGGGAGGCAGCAGUGAGGAAUAUUGGUCAAUGGUCGGGAGACUGAACCAGCCAAGCCGCGUGAGGGAUGAAGGUACAGAGUAUCGUAAACCUCUUUUGUCAGGGAACAAAGGCGGGGACGUGUCCCCGGAUGAGUGUACCUGAAGAAAAAGCAUCGGCUAACUCCGUGCCAGCAGCCGCGGUAAUACGUAGGGGGCAAGCGUUAUCCGGAUUCACUGGGCGUAAAGGGAGCGCAGGCGGCACGGCAAGGCUGAUGUGAAAACCCGGGGCUCAACCCCGGGACUGCAUUGGAAACUGCCGGG